RNAcentral lists this microRNA precursor (84 nucleotides) under Bombyx mori (domestic silkworm). Its description in RNAcentral is "mir-2807 microRNA precursor family". It matches the Rfam family "mir-2807 microRNA precursor family". The record is from Rfam by way of RNAcentral. Lineage: Eukaryota; Metazoa; Arthropoda; Insecta; Lepidoptera; Bombycidae.
UUAAUUUUAAUUUGUAUAGAGAUCCAUCGUUUGCCUACGUUUGCCGCUAGGAGCGCUGUUCCAACUGCAUACAAAUUUGAGUUA